CAGCAAUGUGUGGAGCUGACCGGUACUAAUAGGCCGAGGGCUUGACCA
Molecule: ribosomal RNA, 48 nt
Filed under: Geodermatophilus sp. Leaf369
Lineage: Bacteria; Bacillati; Actinomycetota; Actinomycetes; Geodermatophilales; Geodermatophilaceae
Description: partial 23S ribosomal RNA
Source: RNAcentral